Molecule: unclassified non-coding RNA, 290 nt
Filed under: Cercozoa sp.
Lineage: Eukaryota; Cercozoa
Description: partial contains small subunit ribosomal RNA, internal transcribed spacer 1, and 5.8S ribosomal RNA
Rfam family: Eukaryotic small subunit ribosomal RNA (bases 1-47)
Source: RNAcentral
AAAGUCGUAACAAGGUUUCCGUAGGUGAACCUGCGGAAGGAUCAUUAUCACGUAUCCACGUAUAAACCAUUGUGAACCGUCUCUAACCUCCGCGAAACCGGCUGCUUUUUGAUUUCAUGAACGCAAGUUUGUGAGAGAGAAAAAAAACCGGCGUAAACGGAGCGUAUUUACCUAUUAACCAUUUUAACCAAUCUUUAUAACUUUUUGAACUAACUUUAUUUCAUACUCUUCGGAGAUGAAAUUCAUUACGAAACAAAGAACAACUCUUAGCAACGGAUAUCUUGGUUCUC